CCUACGGGAGGCAGCAGUGGGGAAUAUUGGACAAUGGGCGAAAGCCUGAUCCAGCAAUGCCGCGUGUGUGAAGAAGGCCUUAGGGUUGUAAAGCACUUUCAGCAAUGAAGAAGUUUUACUAGUUAAUACCUAGUAAUAUUGACGUUAGUUGCAGAAGAAGUACUGGCUAACUCUGUGCCAGCAGCCGCGGUAAUACAGAGAGUGCAAGCGUUAAUCGGAAUUAUUGGGCGUAAAGGGUGUGUAGGUUGUUAAAAAAGUUAGAUGUGAAAUCCCUGGGCUUAACCUAGGAAUUGCAUUUAAUACUUUUUAUCUAGAGUAUUGUAGGGGGAAGUGGAAUUUCCGGUGUAGCGGUGAAAUGCGUAGAUAUCGGAAGGAACACCAGUGGCGAAGGCGACUUCCUGGACAAAUACUGACACUGAGACACGAAAGCGUGGGGAGCAAACAGGAUUAGAUACCCGUGUAGUC
RNAcentral lists this ribosomal RNA (465 nucleotides) under uncultured bacterium. Its description in RNAcentral is "bacterial SSU rRNA". It matches the Rfam family "Bacterial small subunit ribosomal RNA", at positions 338 to 795 of the family's 1533-position model. The record is from RNAcentral.